CGCCUGAGGAGGGAGCGGCGAGGAGCGGCGAGGGCAUGGCAGAAGGAGGGCACGCGGGGGCUCCUCCCGUCCGCCUCUGGGUGCGCCGCGUGGGGGUUUACUGCGAUGAGCACCGCAAAACGUGGCUCGUGGCUGCGGAAGAGGAGGAAGGUAUGCUGAGGGCUCGGAUCCAAAGAGUUCAGGUUCCCCUGGGUGAGGCGCUGCGACCCAGCCAGCUCCCCCCAUCCCGGCUGCCUCAUAUGUGGCAGCUGUCCCAGGGUGAGCAGUACAGGGAUAGUAACUCUCGCGUUUGGGAGAUAGAGCACCAUCUCAUGCUCGGUGGUGUUGAAGAACUGCUGCUUAAACUCGUGCCUGGUGAUUAAUCUGGAGCAGUCGCUCUAGGAAGAUGUCCUUGUAUGUUUUGUCCAAUAAAUGAUUCUCUCUCCACUGAAAUGCAGCCACCCCUGGGGUGGAGGCACUUAAACAACACACAGCAACAUCACACAAGAGUUAGGACAGGCAGUGAAGAGGAGUAUCGUGUCCCAUUGAACCAUCAGGGGGACUUCUAGUUCUCUGAACAUGUCCCAGAAGGAUCCCUGCCAGAAACAAGCCUGUGAAAUACAGAAAUGCUUGCAAGCGAACAACUACGUGGAGUACUAAGUGCGCAGCCGUGCUCCAGGAGAUGCGGAAAUGCUGCGCCCGGUACCCCAAG
Molecule: non-coding RNA, 691 nt
Organism: Anas platyrhynchos (mallard)
Lineage: Eukaryota; Metazoa; Chordata; Aves; Anseriformes; Anatidae
Source: RefSeq, a predicted model, not a curated record